AGUCACUGACAUUAGAUACCCUGUAGUCCAGGGUGUAAACGCUGCAGACUUGGUGUUGGAAGUCCUUUGGGGGCAUUCAGUGCCGGAGAGAAGUUGUUAAGUCUGCUACUUGGGAGUACGUCCGCAAGGAUGAACUUAAAGGAAUUGGCGGGGGAGCACCGCAACGGGGGGAGCGUGCGGUUUAAUUGGAUUCAACACCGUAAAACUCACCAGGGAAGACUGUUACAUGAAAGCCGAGAUGAAGACUCUGCUAGAUUUUCAG
This 262-nucleotide ribosomal RNA is filed under the name uncultured archaeon. RNAcentral's name for it is "partial 16S ribosomal RNA". It matches the Rfam family "Archaeal small subunit ribosomal RNA", at positions 718 to 982 of the family's 1478-position model. The record is from RNAcentral.